This 381-nucleotide long non-coding RNA is filed under the name Oryza brachyantha (malo sina). Its description in RNAcentral is "long non-coding RNA (OBRA_LNC003543)". Lineage: Eukaryota; Viridiplantae; Streptophyta; Magnoliopsida; Poales; Poaceae. The record is from RNAcentral.
UAGCUCCCCUUGGUUGCAAAGAGAAAACGUGUAGUUAAGUAUGCGAGGAGUGAAUCAAUAAGGUUCCACGGUUCAGUACUCUAAUUGAUCAGUUAAUAGCAAUUAUAGACUCUCAUUCAAUUGGAAACAAUAGCAAGGGUAGUAUCUGCCUGACGUCUUUCAUCUAUUAAUUCAGUAGGAAAGAAGUAAGAACCCGACGCAAGUAAAUAGAAACUUCAAUCUAAUAGGGCGUAAGGUGAGGCCACGUUGCUUGCUCCCAUUACCUGAGGAUUUGAUCGCCUCAGGCGAUGAAACAACUUCAACACGCAGUGUUUUAUGGAACACUCGCUAUAUAGGAAUCAGAUGCAGAAGUGGCUCCAAUACUUGAAAUGGUAUUGGAUG